ACUGGCUCAGGAUGAACGCUAGCUACAGGCUUAACACAUGCAAGUCGAGGGGCAGCAUGUGGUGCUUGCAACCAAUGAUGGCGACCGGCGCACGGGUGAGUAACGCGUAUCCAACCUUCCCUAUAGUAGAGGAUAGCCCGGCGAAAGUCGGAUUAAUACUCUAUGUUUUCCAAUGCAGACAUCUAAAAUGGAACAAAGGUUCACCGCUAUAGGAUGGGGAUGCGUCUGAUUAGAUAGUCGGCGGGGUAACGGCCCACCGAGUCGACGAUCAGUAGGGUUCUGAGAGGAAGGUCCCCCACAUUGGAACUGAGACACGGUCCAAACUCCUACGGGAGGCAGCAGUGAGGAAUAUUGGUCAAUGGGCGAGAGCCUGAACCAGCCAAGUAGCCGUGCAGGAAGACGGCCCUAUGGGUUGUAAACUGCUUUUAUACAGGGAUAAAGUGACGUACGUGUACGUUAUUGUAGGUACUGUAUGAAUAAGGACCGGCUAAUUCCGUGCCAGCCGCAGC
This 509-nucleotide ribosomal RNA is filed under the name uncultured bacterium. RNAcentral describes it as "bacterial SSU rRNA". It matches the Rfam family "Bacterial small subunit ribosomal RNA", at positions 18 to 518 of the family's 1533-position model. The record is from RNAcentral.